This 644-nucleotide ribosomal RNA is filed under the name Salmonella enterica subsp. enterica. RNAcentral describes it as "bacterial SSU rRNA". It matches the Rfam family "Bacterial small subunit ribosomal RNA", at positions 899 to 1533 of the family's 1533-position model. Lineage: Bacteria; Pseudomonadati; Pseudomonadota; Gammaproteobacteria; Enterobacterales; Enterobacteriaceae. The record is from RNAcentral.
ACUCAAAUGAAUUGACGGGGGCCCGCACAAGCGGUGGAGCAUGUGGUUUAAUUCGAUGCAACGCGAAGAACCUUACCUGGUCUUGACAUCCACAGAACUUUCCAGAGAUGGAUUGGUGCCUUCGGGAACUGUGAGACAGGUGCUGCAUGGCUGUCGUCAGCUCGUGUUGUGAAAUGUUGGGUUAAGUCCCGCAACGAGCGCAACCCUUAUCCUUUGUUGCCAGCGGUCCGGCCGGGAACUCAAAGGAGACUGCCAGUGAUAAACUGGAGGAAGGUGGGGAUGACGUCAAGUCAUCAUGGCCCUUACGACCAGGGCUACACACGUGCUACAAUGGCGCAUACAAAGAGAAGCGACCUCGCGAGAGCAAGCGGACCUCAUAAAGUGCGUCGUAGUCCGGAUUGGAGUCUGCAACUCGACUCCAUGAAGUCGGAAUCGCUAGUAAUCGUGGAUCAGAAUGCCACGGUGAAUACGUUCCCGGGCCUUGUACACACCGCCCGUCACACCAUGGGAGUGGGUUGCAAAAGAAGUAGGUAGCUUAACCUUCGGGAGGGCGCUUACCACUUUGUGAUUCAUGACUGGGGUGAAGUCGUAACAAGGUAACCGUAGGGGAACCUGCGGUUGGAUCACCUCCUUACCUUAAAGAA